CCUGACCCCGUGAUCCACCCACCUCGGCCUCCCAAAGUGCUGGGAUGACAGGCUUGAGCCACCGUGCCCGGCCAAAGGCAGAAUUCUUGUAAGUUUUUUAAAAAAUGUGAACAUAGAUGCAGCACCUACUUUUUAAACUUGAAAAAACUGGUAUAAUGUUAACUUUUAAAAGUAACAUUUGGACACACUAGUAGACUAGUAAACAUUUUUAUUUACGGACGGUUUUGUUUACAUAUUGUUACUCUUGUUUCGAUGAGAUACUUUCAGUGUGACUUUAAAAUGUCUUAGAAAUUAAAGUUUUACAAAAAGUGAUUUCAUAUUUGGUUUAUAAGCAUAUUUAUAUGUGGGGCUUAUACUUUUGUUGUUUCCAUCUUAAAUGCCAUCAUGGCUAAAACUUAAGGGUAUUUGUAGGCUAAUUCCAUUUCAGUUUUAUACAGGGCAGUAAUAAUUCUGAUGAAUGCUGAAUUAAGGAAGAAAUGGAUAUUUUCUUUCUCUGUUGUGCAGUUAUUGGUAGAUCAAUUUCUUAUAACCCAAAAUGUAUCAUCAAUAAUUGAUAGCAUGUAUUUUAUUUAAUUACUUGAAUUAUUUAGACUUGUUUGAUUUCUCUCAUUUUUUCCAUAAAAGGACUGAACAGCACCUACUUGUGGUCUGGGCAGCUUAACCCAGAGUUCUUGGAAGAAUAAAUGCUGUUAGCAUCUGGUUAAUUUACUGGCAGACAGAAACCUACUCGUCAGUGGCUUUCAACUUUUUGACCACAGUAAGAAAUAACCCAUUACACACACACUCACACUCUCUCUCUCUCUCUCUCUCUCUCUCUCUCUCUCUCUCUCUCUCUCUCUCUCUCACACACACAGAUACAUAUAAGCAAAAAUGUAACAAGACAGUACCCAUUUUUCCUAAGUGCGCAUGCUGGCACCUUCUGUUUUAGUUAUUUUUAAAAAUACUAGACAGACACUAAGUUAUUUUGUGGCCUCCUAAUAGAUGGCAAACUUCAGUUUGAAAAGCAUCCCUUUGGAUUGUGGUUUGAAAGAGGAAAUAAUACAAAGACCUUUUUGGAGUAUUUUUUGUUUUUUUGUGUUUGAAUAUUGUUUAGGUAAAAAUUAUUGCUGCAAAUACCACUGAAGCAAAAGUAGUGUGUAUGCAAAUUACUUGUUGCAUUGUAGAAAAUAGAAGUUCCUAAAACUAACAAAUAGACAAAAUUUCAAAACUUGGUGAUUGAUCCAUAUGUCUUGAAGGAAUAUUAGGCAAUAAACUUAGCUUUUCAAGAGAAGUUAUUUAACUUCCAAUUCUGUGUUCUUUAAUUAGGAAACAUUUAUUUUCAAGGUUAACUAUAAUCAAAUAGGAACUUCAGACAAAACCUCAUUAUUCUUGGAUAUGGUGUUCUGCUGUUACUUCUCAAAGUGCUACAGAAGUCUAGUUCAUGAGCCUGGAUUAAGAACAGCAGGGCGGCCCUGGUGUUGUGAGUGGCUGUAGAGGACCAGAGUGAUGCAGGAGAACCUGUCGUGUCUGAGCGUGAGGAGGUGGAGAGUCACCUGUGGGCUAUGGAUCUGAGAACUGAAGUUUUAUCACUUACUCAAACCGUUUUGUGGCUGUUGUAAUAUUUUCUCCUUUGCUUUCCUUUCCUUUGAAAAGCUGUUAUUGGAUGCUGCGUACAAACACGGACACUUCAGAACCAAGCACAUUUGUUACUGCUGUAGCUAGUUAUAGUGAUUCUGCAGCUUUUCUUUUACAGCAUCUUGAAGUCAUCCACAGUUGUUCUGUGUGGACUUCACAGUAGAAUCAGAGAACUAAGUGACAAGUGGAGCGUCGUCCUUCUCCUCCUGCUCACUUCCUCCUUACCACCUCUCUAGCCUAGCUUUCCUUCAGUCUGAAGAGUGAUUUACUUUUUCUUUUCUUUGUAGUCUUUACUGUGGAAUCUCAUCAAAGACUUGGAAGCAGGGGUGGUGAGAGGGGCCUGGGGUGUGGUGUGGAGGGUCGAGUGCUCUGUGGUCCCACAGUCACCCCCAGGACCACCUUGCGAAGCAGAAAAUACACACCUGCAUUUUACAGAUAAGGAACGCCACUCAGAAAGCUGCAGACAUUUGCCUGGGGCCACACUCAUAGUGGGCAGAUGAACUGGAUGGAAAUACAGGCCAGUACAACCGCAGUCUCAUUCUUUCUUUGUUUGAGGUUUUCAGUUUCUUUUUCAGUCAUGUACCUUACAGUUCUAUUAUCUGGUUGGUAAAGAUUGAUGACAGGUAUCCGCAUUCUAGAUUAUAACCUUUAUUCUUAUCAAAUGCCUCCAGUCCCACAAUUCUCUUAAGAAUUCUCUUUCUGGACUUGAUACUGAUUUAAUGAUUUCCCCCAGCUCGUGGAAUGGCAGGCUCCUAAUUAAGUGGAUUUAAAGGCAAAGAGGGAUGUGUGAGAAGGCACAAGAAGUGGCUUCAUCUUGCCAGGAGCGGCAGAGAGGACAGGCAUGGAAAGGAGGCCUGUCUCCCACGGAGAACUCCUCUAGUGCGAGCAGACACGCAUGGUGGAACACGUGUGAGCAGGACAGGAGGGCCGUCUCUCGGGAACGCUGGCCCGCACCCACGAGCUGACCGCCAGCAGGGGAGAGAGGGGCCAGGCAGAUGGAGCACUCCUGGGUCUCCCGGCGCAGAGCCUGCAGCACACAGGACAGGAGGAGACCACGCAGCAACCUGGCAGAAGGUCACCUGGCAGAACGUCAUGUGUAUUUAAGUCCCCAGACUUCGGAAGGUGCCUUUGAGGACAUGGAAUUCUCUUCCAAUUCUCUCCCUUCUGCAAAAAGAUCGUGAGACAGCACAGGGUCGAGUGCUGUGGAGACUAUGAGCUGCCUUUGUCCUGGGAUGUUAGAAGAAUGAGUAUUGGCUUUAAGGAUGAGAGAUCCUUUUGAGUAAAGAACAUUCUGUGAACACAGCAGGCGGUCCACAAGGGUUGGGGUUUGAAUGAAGGGGGUGGCUGAGGAUCUUCCAGGCACCUGUGUUUUGGGAUUAGCCGUACUUGGAAGCCCGGUGGAAGCUGCUUUUCUAUUUAUGAGUCAAAUUCUCUUUCACUCUGAAUGUAAUUAUAAUUGCCAAGCAGCUGUAUCUUAAUUUAGGGUCUUCAAUUGCUAAUGUUUCCUAAGGCUUUAAUUUUAGUUUUCUUUGUUCCUUGGCCUUUUAAAUAUCUAAUAAUAUCUAAAUAAAUUAUUGAAAGAAGAGUUCUCUAUAUGUUGUAAAAGGAAGAAUUACUUGGAAAUAUAUACAGUGACCUCCAAUUGAUGCUUUGUAAUUCAGGUUUUCUGUAAAUUGUUUUUAAGUGUGAGAUACUUUCCACAUAUGCCUGAAAAGCAAGAUCUUUUCUUCCUUCAAAAUUAUACCUCAGAGAAAGGGUCACAUUCUAUCCAGACCUUGCGAAGUGUUUCAAGUUGUGCGGUAUGUUCUGAGAUGAGUUUUGAACAUAAAAGUACUAUUUGGAAUGACUGAUAAAUUGAAUGAAAUAAUCAAUAUGAUCUGGGUGUUUAUUCUCAAAGUGGGGCCCAGACCCUGCAGCCUCAGCUCCUGGGAACCUGAGAGAAAAGCAGAGCUUCAGGCUUUGCCCCAGGCCUGCUGAGGGCAGUCUGGGUGGGGGGCGGGGUAAGCCCUGCAAUCUGUGUUUUCCAAGCCCUCCAGGUGAUUCUGAGGCCCAUUCAGGUUGAAGAACCAGGGUCACAGAAGUUAUCACAUUUUUUAAAUAUGCAAAGUUACUUAACACAGCAUUAUUGAUCAUUCCUGAGGUGUCACCUCCCAACUCCAAGCAUGGGUAUCGCUGUGAGUGAGCUUUCGGAAGCCACGUGAGGAACACAGAUGCCUGGAGGAAUCCCAGCUGUCCUGAUGUUACAUGAAUGAGUUACUUGCAGCUCAAGGUAAACUUCCAAAGACAGCAUCAUUAGGACUGUUUAAAGUACAUUUUCCUUCAAACACGUUAGAUGGAAAUAGAGCUCAUAUGCUCUGAACAACUGUGUUGGGCGACUCCUAAGUGGCCCUAUUUAUGACAAAGACUCUGAGGUCCAAUAGUGAUGUCACCUAAAUGCCUCCUUCUGCCUCAGUCACUGUGGCAUACAGGUCCCAUCUCCUUUAUUAGAACGUCAGUUCCUGGGGCCAGGAGUGUUGUUCUUAACACUGAUAAUACCAUCCAGGGUUUUUAAAGGGUUUUGCAUCUGUCAUUACAUCCCGCCUUUAAACCCUCUCAAGAGCUCAGUACGUGCACUGACCAUAGCAGGCGCUUGUUGAAAAACACAGACUUGUCAAUUUUGCAUACAUACCAAAUAAAUCUCAGGGAGAGUGGCCCUUAACACUCAGUGCUCCAGUCUUAAUAGUAGCUGGUGUAAUAUAGCAAGGAAGCAAAUAAAUGCUUAGGGUAUGUUAAUAUACAUAAGAAUCACAAACUAAUUCCACAGUCAGGUGUUUGAUUCCACAGAAGAAAACCUAGCAUGGCAGACGCAAAUGUCCUUUCCACAAGUCUUGAUGAAAUAUUCCAUUCCACAAGUUUUGUUAUGUACUUUUGCUAUUCAAUUGAAAUUUUUUCUAAUUUCCAUUAUAAUAGGUUAUUUAGAACUGUUUAUUAAUUUCCAAAUGUGAGAUAUUUCUGUUUUUUUAAAAAAUUUUAUUUCUAGCCUCAGCUGCACUGCGGUCACGCUACACGACUUAAGUUUCUUGAAGUACAUGGACAUAAAGAUGGUAACAUGAGAUACUGGGGUGACUGGGGAGGGACACAAGGGCUGAAAAACUAACUUUUGGGUGCUAUGCUCAUGAGCUGGGUGACAAGAUCAUCUGUACCCCAAACAUCGCCGUCCUGCAAUACAUCCAGUAACAAACCUGCACAGGCACCCCCAAAUCCAAAAGCUGAAAUUACAAAACAUGAAUGUCUUAACCUAUGAUGAAAUUUGCAUCAUGGACAAGUAUAUGGUCAGUUUUCAUAAUGGUAUCUUUGUACUUUGAAAGGAAAUAUGUGCUACAGUUGCUCGGUGUGGUGUUCUACACCAUUCUCUCUAAUAAAUGCCUUUGCUUUAAAACCGCUUUUGUCAGGUAUCAAUACAUCAGCUUUCUUCUGUGAAGAGUUUAUGUGUAUAUUAUAGUACGUAUCAUAUGUGAUACACACUCAACACACACACAGUUCUUAUGUUUUCAGGCAUCUCCUCUGAGUAACAUGUACAUAAUCUGGUGCUGGAGCACUCAGUCCACUUUGUGUUGUUACUGACACACAAACGGCACACCUAUCCUGCUCUGUGCCUUCCAUCUGCCCUGCCAUUUUUUUAAAAUUUUGCUCUUUUCAAUUAAAAUUUUCUAUUCUCUUUACUAUUUUGAAGGUUAAAACUCUGUUUCUAUUCUUUUAGCUGUUGCCCUAGAAGUACAUACUUACAUUAUUAAGGUCUAAAUUGGAAUUUUUAUCCCUUGAACCAAUACAAGGAUCUCAGCAUACUUCUUAAUUUUCCUCUCCUGCUUAUGUUAUUUUUGUCAUAAGCUCGCUGUCUCUCUUUUAACCUGAGACAUGCUUAUUCUUGUUUGGUGGAAUCAAUGUCUAUUAGAUUUACUCAAAUUUUUACCACUGACUUCUCAGAUUUCCUGUCUGGGGCCAUUUUCCUUCCUCAUGCAAUGCAUCCUUUAGAAUUUCCUUUAAUGAAGACAUUCUGGUGGCACACUCUUUUUGUCUGAUGGCUUUUCUUUUGCCUCUCUUCUUGAAUGUAAUUUUCAUUUGGUUCAUAUGGAAGUCUAGGCUGACGGUUAGGUCUCCUCCGAAACACGGAGAUGUCAUCCCACCUUCUGCCGUUCCCACUGGGAAAUCUGCAGGGUUACAGGGUUUGCCAUCGUUUAUCCUCGUUCCUGGCCACUUCCAAGAUGACUCAGUGCCUCGUGUUCUGCAGGCUCACUAGACACUUAAACAAAGUCAUAUUGAGCUUCCUUGGGCUUCUUAAAUCUGUGGCUUGCAUCUUCAGAUCUGGGAAAUUCUUAGCCUUUGUUGCUUCAAGCCGUUGCCUCUGUCCCAGGUGUUCUCUUUUCUCUUCGAAUUCUGACAGUGACACUGAACCCUGCACCACGUCCUUAGGCAAGUCACUUCCCUGGACCUGCCUUCCCAGGGGAUACGAAACGUAGGGUCCCCCUUGCAGACCUGAUUCCUCAGUGAGCUGAAGGCAGGGCUUGGCUAGAACGUGUGUGUAUCAAGAGCCAAAGUCAAAACAGUAGAGCCAGCCGUGCUUAGCAUCCAGCUCUUCCAGAAAGAAGGAAAUGUGUGUGCACUAGGGGGUGGGAAAUACCAACUGUGUACCUUUUGGUGAUUCCACGUAUGAAUUAAAUGCUCUUAUAUUUGCACUUAAAACUGACAUUCUGGUGUAAAGAUGCGCUGUGAAAGUCAUAAAAUUUAUAAUUUAAUUUUUUCUUAGAAUACCAUUAAAUAGCAAAUAAAAAAUACUACAUGACCACUGGAGAGAGAGGCCACAGAAGUACAUACAGCUUUAUACUUUUAGUACUUGAACGGCACUUUCCCCAUGUUUUCUCUUUCAAACAGGGAUCUGUGUUUUCAUUUUCAUGGCACUAGGCCAUGCCUGCCGCCUUCCUGUCACCUGGAACACAGUUCCCCAGCCCUGCACGCUGCAGCCCCAGCUGUGUGUCUCGUGUGGUUACUCUGGGCUUCCCCUCCAUGGGCACGCCAUGGAGCGGAGGCUCCCAGGAAGCCCCUGUGCUGGAGGGGCCGAGUCAUGGCCCUUUCUCCCUGGGAGUCCCCAGCCCUGCCCUCUUCACCCUCUUUGGUCUGGGUCGCAGCUGCUGACCUCACACCCCCGGGGCUCUGAGGGCAGUUUCCAGUUUUCAUGUGGAUGCAGGUCGCCCUCUUGAAAAUGACCUAUCUGCUCAGCGCCCAGCUCAGGGCCUCACAGGGGUCUGGGUCCUGGAAGGAUCACCUGUGCCCAGCGGCUCACACUCUGCCAGCCUGCCCCUCCCAGACGCCAAGCCGCGCUGCCCUCUGCCUGGACAGAGGUUCCAGGGAAUGGCGCGGUCCCUCCAUUUGGGUUCAGGGUGCAUCUCCUCAGACAUUUCCACCUUAUUUCAAACAUCUCACCCCCACUUCACUCUCUCUCCCCUUCCUCUCUUUGUAUUUUUCUUCCUGGCACUUAUUACUUCUUGAAAAUUUUAACAAAAUAUUUUAUUGUCUCUCCCCAGCUCCCUGCAGGAAGGGUGCCCUGCAGCAGGCGGGAACCACCCGAGUGGCCUCCAUAUGCACCUGGACAGGCGCGUGGGCUGGGUGCUCACACCUGGGCCCCAGAGGUGCUGGUCAGCACCCCCUUUACAAUGAAGGCUCGCAAAGUACACAACUCCAAGUGCCAGUCCAUGAAAGCAGUUCACAUAGACUUUUAAUACAGAUCCACACGGUGAAUGACAACAAUUUCUAAAGGGGCUGGGGUGAAAAGAGUUGGGGAAGUGCUGAGCUGCCACGGAACAGGCACUGUGCUAGCACGACAGUCUGGAGGACAAACACUGGUUCCGUUAACAAAGAGCUCCCGUGUAGCAAGAAGAGCCCCGCUGACGAUGGAAUGCGAUGGAAUGCGUGCUGCUGUGGCACCGGACUCGGGAGACACGGAGGAGGGAGGGAGGGAGGAAUCGCCAGGCUUCCUGGGAAGUCAGCCCUGGGCCGACGCAGCCGGUGGGACAGGGACCUGGGAAGGAAGGAGUGAGGACACAGGCAGAGGGACCAUGCAGGGGGCAAGACCCACAAGGGCAAGUCACUGGAGCCCAGCCCCACCCACCUCCCUCGACAGCCUCUGUCCUCUGGGAACGCUGUCCCAGGUCACUCCCCACGGGCCACCCUCCUUCCUUCUUGUUCCUUCCUUUCCUGUGUGAAUCUUAGGGUCUGGCCAAACUUGUUGACUCCGUUCAGUGAAUCACUGUUAGAUAUUUCUGUUUCCUUGACUGCACAUGAAUGGCUAGUGGGAUCCAUGUGUCCCAGGUACCUGGGCUGGAGGUGACCUCUCUUCUCUGAGCUCUCACAGGGCACUGCUGCUGCUUUCAUUCCACACACGUCAGCUGCCCAGUGUUAGCUUUUUCCUGUGUGCAUUGCUUAUCUCCUUGAAUGACUGCCUUAGAUUCAGGGAAGCACCAAUUCAUCUUUGUAAGGCCCUUAGCAUUCAAGAAAUUUUGACUUUAGGUUGGCAACAGAUGAGAAGUGAGAGCAAAUAUAUGCCUCAAAUGUACAUAUUCCAAAGGAGUGCAGCAGAAAUCCUUUUUCGGGGAACUGAGAAAAAACACUGCCUACCUAAAAUGAUUUUGAAAUUAUUUCCAGUGUCAAAAUUCAGUAAAACAUCAACUUUAGCUUAUAAUCAUAACAUUGACAUUAGCUUAUUAAUAAAUAUACUGAAAGUCCUUUCAUAGGCAUUUAUGACAAAUUUAAAAAGUGAACUGGGAUGAAUAUUAUAGCUUUGAGUAUUCAAAGGUUAGCAAGGGUGGUACUUGUAAAAGUCAACAUUUAUUAAUCAUUGUAGUUAAUUCAAAGUAAUAUUCUGUGGUUAGCUACUAUUAAAUAUUUUUAAUUGUCAGAUUCUUCUGUGUGCAACGUUCUUUAUUCCUUUAUUUACUCCCUCACUUUUCAUGUGGGUUAGAUGACCUUAGUAACUGAAAGGGCAAGAACUGUCAAAAACAAAUGACAAUUGAUUUCUAGUUUUUAAACAAAUGGUUGAUAUUAUGAAUUCUAC
Long non-coding RNA from Rhinopithecus roxellana (golden snub-nosed monkey), 8698 nucleotides. RefSeq lists it as uncharacterized. Lineage: Eukaryota; Metazoa; Chordata; Mammalia; Primates; Cercopithecidae. The transcript is spliced from 5 exons. The record is from RefSeq and is a predicted model, not a curated record.